GAUGAACGCUGGCGGCGUGCCUAAUACAUGCAAGUCGAGCGAACGGACGAGAAGCUUGCUUCUCUGAUGUUAGCGGCGGACGGGUGAGUAACACGUGGAUAACCUACCUAUAAGACUGGGAUAACUUCGGGAAACCGGAGCUAAUACCGGAUAAUAUUUUGAACCGCAUGGUUCAAAAGUGAAAGACGGUCUUGCUGUCACUUAUAGAUGGAUCCGCGCUGCAUUAGCUAGUUGGUAAGGUAACGGCUUACCAAGGCAACGAUGCAUAGCCGACCUGAGAGAGUGAUCGGCCACACUGGAACUGAGACACGGUCCAGACUCCUACGGGAGGCAGCAGUAGGGAAUCUUCCGCAAUGGGCGAAAGCCUGACGGAGCAACGCCGCGUGAGUGAUGAAGGUCUUCGGAUCGUAAAACUCUGUUAUUAGGGAAGAACGUAUGUGUAAGUAACUGUGCACAUCUUGACGGUACCUAAUCAGAAAGCCACGGCUAACUACGUG
This 497-nucleotide ribosomal RNA is filed under the name uncultured bacterium. RNAcentral's name for it is "partial 16S ribosomal RNA". It matches the Rfam family "Bacterial small subunit ribosomal RNA", at positions 28 to 507 of the family's 1533-position model. The record is from RNAcentral.